GUGGGGAAUCUUCCGCAAUGGACGAAAGUCUGAUGGAGCAACGCCGCGUGAGUGAAGAAGGGUUUCGGCUCGUAAAGCUCUGUUGUCGGGGACGAAUGUGCAGUAUUUGAAUAAAGUAUUGCAAUGACGGUACCUGACGAGGAAGCCACGGCUAACUACGUGCCAGCAGCCGCGGUAAUACGUAGGUGGCAAGCGUUGUCCGGAAUUAUUGGGCGUAAAGGGAGCGCAGGCGGGAAGGUAAGUCGGUCUUAAAAGUGCGGGGCUCAACCCCGUGAUGGGAUCGAAACUAUCUUUCUUGAGUGCAGGAGAGGAAAGUGGAAUUCCUAGUGUAGCGGUGAAAUGCGUAGAUAUUAGGAGGAACACCAGUGGCGAAGGCGACUUUCUGGACUGUAACUGACGCUGAGGCUCGAAAGCCAGGGGAGCGAACGGGAUUAGAUACCCCUGUAGUCC
This 450-nucleotide ribosomal RNA is filed under the name uncultured bacterium. RNAcentral's name for it is "partial 16S ribosomal RNA". It matches the Rfam family "Bacterial small subunit ribosomal RNA", at positions 354 to 796 of the family's 1533-position model. The record is from RNAcentral.